UCCUGACAGACUUAAAUAUCCCAUGAAGCGCGUAGGAAAACGCGGUGAAGGAAAAUUUGAGCGAAUUUCCUGGGAUGAAGCGACAACCUUAAUCGCCGAUAAUUUAAAAUCGAUUACUGAAAAAUAUGGCCCGGCUUCGCGCUAUGUUCAUGUUGGUACCGCCGUUUCCGGCGGCACCUUUUCCGGCGAUAAAAUGGCGCGUCGCCUGUUGAAUCUGACCGGCGGAUAUCUCGAAAGCUACCAUUCUGUGAGUAUGGGCAACACGGCGGCCGCGACGCCUUAUACUUACGGCAUUGCCGCCAGCGGCAGUUCACUGGAUACGCUUUUGGAGACCAAACUGGUGAUUCUGUGGGGCCAUAACCCGACGGAGACCAUUUUUGGUCAUACCAACUAUUUCUUGCAGAAGAUGAAGCAGAACGGUACGCGGUUUAUCGUGGUCGAUCCGCGCUAUUC
This 453-nucleotide unclassified non-coding RNA is filed under the name uncultured fungus. RNAcentral's name for it is "partial internal transcribed spacer 1". The record is from RNAcentral. Lineage: Eukaryota; Fungi.